Molecule: ribosomal RNA, 372 nt
Filed under: uncultured organism
Description: partial 16S ribosomal RNA
Rfam family: Bacterial small subunit ribosomal RNA
Source: RNAcentral
GUAGGUGGCAAGCGUUGUCCGGAAUUAUUGGGCGUAAAUCGCGCGCCGGCGGUUUUUUAAGUCUGAUGUGAAAGCCCACGGGCUCAACCGUGGAGGGUCAUUGGAAACUGGAGAACUUGAGUACAGAAGAGGAAAGCGGAAUUCCACGUGUAGCGGUGAAAUGCGUAGAGAUGUGGAGGAACACCAGUGGCGAAGGCGGCUUUCUGGUCUGUAACUGACGCUGAGGCGCGAAAGCGUGGGGAGCAAACAGGAUUAGAUACCCUGGUAGUCCACGCCGUGAACGAUGAGUGCUAAGUGUUAGGGGGUUUCCGCCCCUUAGUGCUGCAGCUAACGCAUUAAGCACUCCGCCUGGGGAGUACGGCCGCAAGGCUG